CUACAUCCACUUCUUCUUCCUCAUCACAUUCGUCAUCAAGGUCGUCAUCUUCAAGUAGCAGAGAUUCUUCUAAAACUAAAUCAAAGAGAAGGAAAAAAGAAAAACACAACAAAAAGAAGAGAAAAAAAAU
Molecule: long non-coding RNA, 130 nt
Organism: Lagopus muta (rock ptarmigan)
Lineage: Eukaryota; Metazoa; Chordata; Aves; Galliformes; Phasianidae
Exons: 3
Source: RefSeq, a predicted model, not a curated record